This is a long non-coding RNA of Mauremys reevesii (Reeves's turtle), 559 nucleotides long. RefSeq lists it as uncharacterized. The transcript has 3 exons. The record is from RefSeq and is a predicted model, not a curated record. Lineage: Eukaryota; Metazoa; Chordata; Testudines; Geoemydidae.
GCAAAUUUACCCCAAGGGUCACAUUAUCACUCCUCUUUUACCUGGAGAACUCCCUCACAAAACUCCUCAGUUAGCCACUCCUGUUUGCUAGUUCAGAGGGACUAUUUUACUCUUCAUUUGCAUCUCUAGUCUGUGUUUUCCCAUGUCUGACCCUGUUCCCUUCAUGAAGAUCCCCUUGUCUAUGCACAACUUGGAGUGCUGGUAUGAGCUGCUGAUGCCCUCUCCCAGCCCAUGGCAGCCCGAGGAUAUCCUUCCAGCUAGGAGGAGAACACGGGCUGGUGUUUGCAGAAGAGCUAUGAAGGCCCUAAUGCAGAGAGGGGCUCAGGAAGGCCCCAAACAAGCAUCCAGAGACAUUGCUUUCUGGACUUAACUAUGCAGCACUGGCAAGAGGAGGCUGAUCCCAUGCCUUCCAGAUGGUGAGCAUAGCCCAAAGACAUUCCAGAGGCAGGAGAUUCCAGUACUCUAGCUGCCUCGUCAACUAGAAAGAGGCUCCAGCAUACAUCGUUGUUGACUAUUAUAACCCCGGAGCUAACGCUGGAAUUUAAAAUAGGUACUAUCA